RNAcentral lists this ribosomal RNA (225 nucleotides) under uncultured bacterium. Its description in RNAcentral is "partial 16S ribosomal RNA". It matches the Rfam family "Bacterial small subunit ribosomal RNA", at positions 95 to 334 of the family's 1533-position model. The record is from RNAcentral.
UAGGCGUACGGGUGAGUAACACGUGGAUUAUCUGCCUCUUAGUGGGGAAUAACUCUGGGAAACCGGAGCUAAUGCCGCAUAAGCCUGGGAAGGGAAAGUCGCAAGACGCUGAGAGAGGAGUCCGCGGCCGAUUAGCUAGUUGGCAGGGUAAAAGCCUACCAAGGCUAUGAUCGGUAGCCGGCCUGAGAGGGCACACGGCCACACUGGCACUGAAACACGGGCCAG